AACCCCCCAGUGACUCUGGUUCCCAAGGUCUCCUAGCCUUCCCGCAGGCAGGGAGGAUGCAUCUGCUAAAGCCAUCAGCUGCCGGCUGUACACAUCAGACCUAUAAAAAGCAGCUCAGCCUGGGACCCAGCUCACCAGCUUGCAGAGCUGGGGUAGAUCCCAUCCCACCAUCCCUGAGACCCUGGGUCCCCAUGCACAGCCCUGAGACUCACCAGCAGCCCCAAAAUCCGUGCAGAGAAUGAAUCCCAAUGCCUCUGAAGCUAAGCUGAGGCAGUGCUGAUCACAGGACGUAUAUGGGCAAAGCAGACCCGGAUCUGGGAGAGCAUAAACUUGGUAUUUAUCUCCAUAGAGUGACAUCAAGGCAUUUCUGCACAGCAUGCUGCUUCCCGGACUGCUCUGUUUAUACUGCAUGGAAUAAACAUACCCCGAGGAGCUUGACCCCAUGUGUGCCACAUCCCGAGAUGAUGCUCUGACCGCUUGCCAAGCAGGAAAGCUCUGCCCUUUCCGCCAUCCUCAGGGGACUUUGAUGUGCAUCAACACUGCCCAUGCCACUGGGCCUGGUGGAGGGACUAUGGGAGCUUUGCUGGGUGCUCUGAGCAACGCGGUUGGGUGCUGGUGGCCUCCCAAACUGAAAAGGUCCUUGCAGACCCCUGUGCUUCCCACCUCACAUGCGCCAAAGCAGCUUGUGCUCCCAAGCAGGACUUUGCCCAUAGACAUGGACAUAUCAGACCAGACUUGCCAUUAACGAAGCACUACCGAGAUGUCCAGUUAAGCAGCUAUUUAUGUGUCUGCAACAUAGGACCCUUAGAAUGGUAAAUGCUCUUGCCAAAUACAUUUAAAGAAGCUACGUGACAACUCUUGAUACACUAGCAAUCAAAAUGAUGUCUGAUGAUAGGACCUGAAAUAUGGGCACUGAAUAAAAGAUAGAUUUAUGAAACACCUACAGGCUCUAUGUCUUUUCAUAUGGCUGUUUCGUAAGGUCCUUUUUUGGUAUACUGCUGUAAGUGGGGCAUCAACACUUGUCUUGGAGCAUUAAUAGUAAAUAAUAAUAAUAAUAGGAUAGGAAACAUAAAGCAAAGUUUUCCUGUAGGCUUCCAUUAAAAAGUCUACAUGGAAGUAGAAACUCUACCCUUAAAACCCCAAGAACAUCUCCAGAAUUGUAUACUAUUCAAUAUAGGUCACAUUUGGAGCCUAAAUCAUUUGGCAGCAUCAUCUCAUAUCACAGCUGUGGAAAAUAUAAUUGGGAUAAAAUGGAAUUCAAAUCCUUCCCGCUGGCAAGCUCAUCAACUAAGCCAAUGGAUAAAUGGGCAUGGAAUCCAUGAGAGCAAACAGCUCCCUAGAACCCAAGAUUGGCUUUUUAAAGAGAAAUAGGGUGUUUUUUCCCAAUCUUUCCUUGUAGAAACAGCUGUAGGAUGUCAUCGUCCCACUGAGUCAGCGCAGGAUGGAGCAGGAAGGAGCCAGCCUCCGUAGCUUAGUGGGUUGUGAACUUCAAAGCUGAAUUUAGCGCGUCGAAUGUUGCUGCUGGUAGUGCUGGGGAGCUUUCAUCUGCGUCUGACAAGCCAAGUAGCUCACAGUGUGUGAGUUCCGUGGGCAUCUUGCUGCGUUGCAGGGAAUCUGCUGCUCAAACAGAUGGGUGGCAGAGCAGCAUCGUUUCCACAAUUGGCAGAGAGUGGGUACAACCCCGAGCAACUUCUCUCCUUGUUUCCUGCAGUGAGGGAAUCCCCACAGCAGGGAGACGGAGGGAACCCGAGCUCCAUUUCAGCUGGGGGUGCUCCUAAUACAUUCCCAGGGAUGCUGUUUUGGAGGAAGGACGGACUCAUCACAGUGCUGCUGCAUGGCAGCGGAAGCACGCUCCACUCUUAACAACUGCAAAGCCCCAGGACAAACUGGAAGGCUGAAACAACCACUCGGUUCUGGGAUUGCCAAACCUAUCCAGGACUUCAGAGCCUCUUUGCCAAGUGCAAAGGAUCACCUUGUGCUCUGUUCUGAACCCCUGAGCUGUCCCUGUCCCCUUUUACACCCAUGCAGGGUGCAUCUGACCUUGGGAAGGACAAGGGGUAACGGCCCAGCUUAAAUCCUAAAACAGGACUUAAGCAAGACUUCAGUAAUGCCUGGAAUGAGUUUUCCUGCUGCGAACCGAGGAGUGAAGCUGUGUUGCCAGAGCCAGCACUAUAAAUGGGCAUUACUUACUGAUCAGAUCUGGCUAAAAGCAUUUCACUGCAGAGAAGGUGGUGCUCAGCCUCAUGAAAGGAGCAUGAAUGGAGUCACCUUCAAAACCAUCCAUUGCCAUGGGGGCAAUACCACCGCAGGAGUUUGUAAAGGGGAAGGGACUGAUGUGCGUGACUCUGUUUUGGGUGCUUUUGGUUCUUGCAUUGCAGCCAGCUGCCUCCCCAGCACAGUUCCCUUUUGCUCAUUGGACUUCCUACUUCCCUGCAUUACGCACACAACAGAGGAACCUUUGUGUGGUGGCAAUCUGUUUUUUUCCAAGAGGGAGGUUUAUAUUCACUGCACAAACUUAUUGCUUAUGAAAUGUUACAAACCAGGGCUAGAGAGCAGCCGAAAAUGUCAGUUUGCCGCUGAGUUUGGUGGGAGGCUGAUGGGGGGAGGACCAGGGGGUCUGCUGAGAGCAGCAAUCUCAGCUGUGCGAAUGAUUCAGCACAUAGAUGCUUCAGGAUCAGGAGGUAAAAGAGUUGGGGAGGGCUUGUUACUGGAACUCUUUUGCAUGACGGGCACUAAAGGAACCAAUCCUUGCUGGUUUGGAUGGAGUGAAGCAAACAGGGAUGCUUACACCCUUGCUCUGUCUGGUCUGCAGUUUCCAGCCCAGCCCCUGACCCGAGCUAUGCUCCCAACGCAUUCCUCUGGGAAUCUGGUUCACCAGCCCCUAUGUCCUACCUACAUCCCAUCACCAGUGACAUCAGAGCUCUGAUUUGUCAGAACAACACAAAUAUGAGCUACCAGCCUCCCCAAGGGCCUGACCUGCUCCUGGGACAGCUUCUCCUCUGCCUUACUACUCUGUGCAUUGUAACCCAUGCACUCCAAGGGUAAUUUCAGUGGAGAUCAUUGUGUAAAACGGCCUUGUGCUGAGCAGAAAUGUGGCAACAGAAAGGAUCUGACUCUGCAGGAAGCACAGAUUGCUGGUGCUGGUCACAGAUAUCCCUUGGGAUCGUGAGCCAACCUCCAGUGACGUUACGAAGAGGCUGUGUGCUCCCAGGGAAGGCAGGAUCAGCCCGUUGGACUCAUCCUGACCUCCAGCAGAACCAAACCUCCAUACGGAAAACCUCUGCAAAGCUCCAGGCUUCCUUGCAUGUCUCCAAUUCCUUCCUUACAGCAGAAUAGUUCAAGUCUGAGGCUGCCUUGCCUAUCACCCCAUCGAUACAUACAUCUCUCUGACAAGGCUGACUUCAACAAAAGCCUGACAGGCAUAAUUAUGAGAAU
Molecule: long non-coding RNA, 3435 nt
Organism: Pezoporus flaviventris
Lineage: Eukaryota; Metazoa; Chordata; Aves; Psittaciformes; Psittacidae
Exons: 3
Source: RefSeq, a predicted model, not a curated record